This 442-nucleotide ribosomal RNA is filed under the name uncultured bacterium. RNAcentral describes it as "partial 16S ribosomal RNA". It matches the Rfam family "Bacterial small subunit ribosomal RNA", at positions 339 to 795 of the family's 1533-position model. The record is from RNAcentral.
CUACGGGCGGCUGCAGUGGGGAAUAUUGGACAAUGGACCAAAAGUCUGAUCCAGCAAUUCAGUGUGUUUGAUGAAGGCCUUCGGGUUGUAAAGAACUUUAAGUAGGGAAGAAGAAAGUGACGGUACCUACAGAAUAAGCGACGGCUAAAUACGUGCCAGCAGCCGCGGUAAUACGUAUGUCGCAAGCGUUAUCCGGAAUUAUUGGGCAUAAAGCGCGUCUAGGCGGUUUACUAAGUCUGAUGUGAAAAUGCGGGGCUCAACUCCGUAUUGCGUUGGAAACUGGUAGACUAGAGUAUUGGAGAGGUAGGCGGAACUACAAGUGUAGAGGUGAAAUUCGUAGAUAUUUGUAGGAAUGCCAAUGACGAAGGUAGCUUACUGGACAAAUACUGACGCUGAAGCGCGAAAGCUAGGGGAGCAAACAGGAUUAGAUACCCGCGUAGUC